GACAGUGUGGCAUAGUGGUUUGAGCGUUGGACUGUGACUCUGGAGACCAGGGUUGGAUUCCCAGCUCAGCCA
RNAcentral lists this transfer RNA (72 nucleotides) under Phrynosoma platyrhinos (Desert horned lizard). Its description in RNAcentral is "tRNA-OTHER". It matches the Rfam family "tRNA". Rfam says of the family: Transfer RNA (tRNA) molecules are approximately 80 nucleotides in length. Their secondary structure includes four short double-helical elements and three loops (D, anti-codon, and T loops). Lineage: Eukaryota; Metazoa; Chordata; Lepidosauria; Squamata; Phrynosomatidae. The record is from RNAcentral.